UAGGUAAUAUUGAAAAUAUUUUAUUUUAACAAAAUUCUGCAACUGUAAAAUGGAUGCAAUUAAUUGGAAAUAUCAAUAUUUUUGUGAUUGAUAUUUGUAUUAUAUUAAAUGUCAUUUUAAUAUUGGAAUUAAGUCAAUUUGGUUGCCUAUUGCUUCUGCUUUACCCAAUACUAAAAUGUCACCAUUGAAACUUCCAUAUUGCAUGCAAGUGUAAAAAAUUUCAAUGUUUUUAGUAAAAUCAUUUUAUACUUAAGUUGAUACUAGUAAUAAUUAGAUGUUGAAUAUCCACUUUUUAAAUCAUUUUUGAUUUAUCAAAUUUAUUGUUAUAUACUUAUACAAGGUGCUUAGUUAUUUUAUAUUAUAAUAAAAU
Molecule: long non-coding RNA, 370 nt
Filed under: Mytilus galloprovincialis (Mediterranean mussel)
Lineage: Eukaryota; Metazoa; Mollusca; Bivalvia; Mytilida; Mytilidae
Source: RNAcentral